Oncorhynchus masou masou (cherry salmon) is the source of this 1017-nucleotide long non-coding RNA. RefSeq lists it as uncharacterized. Lineage: Eukaryota; Metazoa; Chordata; Actinopteri; Salmoniformes; Salmonidae. The transcript is spliced from 3 exons. The record is from RefSeq and is a predicted model, not a curated record.
GAAGAUGACACAGCUCAAAAUAAAAAUUAGGUAUAUUCUCGUAAAGUCAAGUGAGCCAUGACAUAUGAGCUCUUAUUGUGAGCACACAGGACGGUGGCAUCUUUCUAAGGUUUUUUUAUUUUCCCAGCAAUCAGUACAACCAAGUCAUCGUUAUAAGGCAUCGCCCUCUUUUGCCCACCCCCCCAGCACCAGGUGUGGCCACUAGCCUAUAUGAAGGCCCAAAAUUGUGUGUUCCUUUCUGCUCUGACAAUGGCAUGCCCAUUCGUGCGAGAUGUGGUGGAUGAAGAAGCACUUGUGCUGAGGAGAGCCUUCAGGCGAGAAAGGGUCUUCAGGGACCGGUUGGACCCACUGGCCUUCCCUGAUGACCAUCUAUAUGAAAGAUACAGGUUUUCUGCAGAUGGCUUCAGGUAUCUAUGCAGACUACUGGGUCCCAGGAUUAAGCACCGCACUGCACGGAGCCAUGCACUGAGUGUGGAGCAAAUGGUUUGUGUGGCCUUGCGCUUUUUUGCUAGUGGAGCCUUCCUGUACUCAGUGGGGGAUGCAGAACAGCUGAACAAGGCCACAAUUUGCCGCACAAUAAGGAGUGUGUGUCUGGCUAUCAAAGCAUUAGCAGAUGUCUUCAUCUCCUUCCCUGGCCACAGAAGACUCUGUGACAUCAAAGAGGAGUUCUAUAGGAUUGCAGAUGGUCUGCAAUGCUGACUGUGUGAUCAGCAAUGUUGUGGCAAAAUGGCCUGGCUCAGUCCAUGACUCCAGAAUCUUUCGGGCCUCUGAAAUCUAUCAGUGCCUAUCACAAGGUGAAUUCUCUGGUGUGUUGCUGGGAGACAGGGGGUAUGGCUGCCAGCCUUUUCUCCUGACACCUUUCACAGACCCCCAGGAAGCACAGCAGGCCUACAACCAUGCCCAUGCCAGGACCAGGGCCAGAGUUGAAAUGACCUUUGGCCUCCUGAAGGCACGCUUUCACUGCCUUCACAAAUUAAGGGUCAGCCCUGUUAGGGCAUGUGAUAUUACUGUGGCUUG